GAUGAACGCUGGCGGCGUGCCUAAUACAUGCCAGUCGAGCGAACGGACGAGAAGCUUGCUUCUCUGAUGUUAGCGGCGGACGGGUGAGUAACACGUGGAUAACCUACCUAUAAGACUGGGAUAACUUCGGGAAACCGGAGCUAAUACCGGAUAAUAUUUUGAACCGCAUGGUUCAAAAGUGAAAGACGGUCUUGCUGUCACUUAUAGAUGGAUCCGCGCUGCAUUAGCUAGUUGGUAAGGUAACGGCUUACCAAGGCAACGAUGCAUAGCCGACCUGAGAGGGUGAUCGGCCACACUGGAACUGAGACACGGUCCAGACUCCUACGGGAGGCAGCAGUAGGGAAUCUUCCGCAAUGGGCGAAAGCCUGACGGAGCAACGCCGCGUGAGUGAUGAAGGUCUUCGGAUCGUAAAACUCUGCUAUUAGGGAAGAACAUAUGUGUAAGUAACUGUGCACAUCUUGACGGUACCUAAUCAGAAAGCCACGGCUAACUACGUG
This 497-nucleotide ribosomal RNA is filed under the name uncultured bacterium. RNAcentral's name for it is "partial 16S ribosomal RNA". It matches the Rfam family "Bacterial small subunit ribosomal RNA", at positions 28 to 507 of the family's 1533-position model. The record is from RNAcentral.